Long non-coding RNA from Mugil cephalus (flathead mullet), 1051 nucleotides. RefSeq lists it as uncharacterized. The transcript has 3 exons. Lineage: Eukaryota; Metazoa; Chordata; Actinopteri; Mugiliformes; Mugilidae. The record is from RefSeq and is a predicted model, not a curated record.
GCCUUCAUUUAAAGCAACAGUUAAUUCAAUAAUUGAUGAAGAAAUAGGGAAAGCUUUGCAAGGGGUGAGAAUAGCAUAAGGCUGCAGUGUGGCAUAGCAGAGUAUUACAUAGUCUCUGCAGUGUUUUGAAAAGAUUUUUCCUUCCUCAAUCAAAUACACAGAAUUAUCUUCAUUUAUCAUUUUGUGAUUGACUUGAGCGUUUAUAUUUCUUUUUAUGCUAUUCAGAUUGAGAAUGCUGCUUCAGUUGAUGUUCUGCGAGAAUGUACCAUGAGACACAGCACAAUGUUACAGACAGCAGGUUGUCUGAGACAUGUGGCUACUGUUGAAGCAAAGAAAGAAAUUGUGUCUGACUACCUCCACUAGUAUAUUAUUGACCGCAACUCAUCUGUAAUUGAUAGAUUCAAAGAUGGUCUUUCAGCCCUUCAGUUUCUCACUGCACUACAGCAACACCCUGCUUUGCUGUCCCCUGUCCUGACCCACUCAGAAAAGGGGCUAACUGCUCUUGAACUUGAGAGACUCUUCAAACCUGACCUCAGUCCACCAGGGAGUAACAGUAGACUUAAAGAAAGUGAAACUUUGGGCUACUGGGCAGACUAUCUCCUUGACUGUGAAGAAGGUCAGGCUGCUGUAUCUGUGGAAGACGUUUUCAUGUUUGCAACUGGACUGACUUCACUUCCCCCAUCUGGAAAUUGGAACCAUCACCAAGAGUUCCUGGAUGACUCUCCAUUCCCAAUGGCAAAAACAUGUUCAAACACAUUGAAAUUAGACACUUACACUGUGUUUAAGACACAAAUGGACUUUGGACUUCAAAAUUCCCCAGGAUUUGGAUGUUUUUAAGCCACGAGAUGACCCCUAGGGACUCUGAAAAGGUUGUUAUUAAAGGUUAAGAAUCUUUAAAAUGUAAAGAUAUGUGAGUAUGUUUUUUCUCACAGUUAACAUUUUGGCCAUUCUAUUUUAGACAAAAAAAAAGGGAGUUAAAGGAAGAAGGCCAAGAAGUUUUGUUUUCUGUUCUUACAAAAAUGCAAUAAAUAUGCAUUACUUUACUAGUACU